RNAcentral lists this ribosomal RNA (253 nucleotides) under uncultured bacterium. RNAcentral describes it as "partial 16S ribosomal RNA". It matches the Rfam family "Bacterial small subunit ribosomal RNA", at positions 524 to 776 of the family's 1533-position model. The record is from RNAcentral.
CACGUAGGCACCAAGCGUUGUCCGGAUUUAUUGGGCGUAAAGAGCGUGUAGGCGGCCAGGUAGGUCUGCUGUGAAAACUCGAGGCUCAACCUCGAGACGUCGGCGGAAACCAUCUGGCUAGAGUCCGGAAGAGGAGAGUGGAAUUCCUGGUGUAGCGGUGAAAUGCGCAGAUAUCAGGAAGAACACCCGUGGCUAAGGCGGCUCUCUAGUACGGUACUGACGCUGAGACGCGAAAGCGUGGGGAGCGAACAGG